GAUGAAGAACGUAGCGAAAUGCGAUAAGUAAUGUGAAUUGCAGAAUUUAGUGAAUCAUCGAAUCUUUGAACGCAUAUUGCGCCCGCCAGCACUCUGGCGGGCAUGCCUGUUCGAGCGUCAUUUCAACCCUCAGGCCUCGCGUCUGGCGUUGGGGCGCUGCGGCCCUCCCGCAGGCCCCCAAAUUUAGCGGCGGAUUCCCCGCGGCCCUGAGCGCAGUAGAGAGUAAAAACUUUAACGCUCCGGCGGCCGUGGCGCGGUUCUGCCUCUUUCACAAUAGCGCCAAUAGCGCCACCCCCAAAAAAGUUGACCUCGGAUCAGGUAGGACUACCCGCUGAACUUAAGCAUAUCAAUAAGCGGAGGA
RNAcentral lists this unclassified non-coding RNA (361 nucleotides) under soil metagenome. RNAcentral describes it as "partial contains 5.8S ribosomal RNA, internal transcribed spacer 2, and large subunit ribosomal RNA". The stretch from base 1 to 120 matches the Rfam family "5.8S ribosomal RNA", at positions 35 to 154 of the family's 154-position model. The record is from RNAcentral.